RNAcentral lists this ribosomal RNA (429 nucleotides) under Bacillota bacterium. RNAcentral's name for it is "Firmicutes bacterium partial 16S ribosomal RNA". It matches the Rfam family "Bacterial small subunit ribosomal RNA", at positions 355 to 776 of the family's 1533-position model. The record is from RNAcentral. RNAcentral also lists the same sequence under 1 other name. Lineage: Bacteria; Bacillati; Bacillota.
UGAGGAAUCUUGCGCAAUGGGGGCAACCCUGACGCAGCAACGCCGCGUGGAGGAUGAAGGUCUUCGGAUCGUAAACUCCUGUCAGAGGGGACGAACGCUUGCGGGCGAAUAGCCCGUAAGCUUGACGGUACCCUCAGAGGAAGCCACGGCUAACUCUGUGCCAGCAGCCGCGGUAAUACAGAGGUGGCGAGCGUUAUUCGGAAUUAUUGGGCGUAAAGGGCGCGUAGGCGGCUGAGUAAGUCCUGGGUGAAAUCCCUCGGCUCAACCGGGGAACUGCCUUGGAAACUACUCGGCUCGAGGCCGGGAGAGGGUAGCGGAAUUCCCAGUGUAGCGGUGAAAUGCGUAGAUAUUGGGAGGAACACCGGUGGCGAAGGCGGCUACCUGGACCGGUUCUGACGCUGAUGCGCGAAAGCGUGGGGAGCAAACAGG